RNAcentral lists this ribosomal RNA (460 nucleotides) under uncultured bacterium. RNAcentral's name for it is "partial 16S ribosomal RNA". It matches the Rfam family "Bacterial small subunit ribosomal RNA", at positions 338 to 795 of the family's 1533-position model. The record is from RNAcentral.
CCUACGGGGGGCAGCAGUGAGGAAUAUUGGUCAAUGGGCGCGAGCCUGAACCAGCCACGUAGCGUGAAGGAUGACUGCCCUACGGGUUGUAAACUUCUUUUAUAAAGGAAUAAAGUGAGGCACGUGUGCCUUUUUGUAUGUACUUUAUGAAUCAGAAUCGGCUAACUCCGUGCCAGCAGCCGCGGUAAUACGGAGGAUCCGAGCGUUAUCCGGAUUUAUUGGGUUUAAAGGGUGCGUAGAUGGGUUGUUAAGUCAGUUGUGAAAGUUUGCGGCUCAACCGUAAAAUUGCAAUUGAUACUGGAAGCCUUGAGUACAGUUGAGGUAGGCGGAAUUCGUGGUGUAGCGGUGAAAUGCUUAGAUAUCACGAAGAACUCCGAUUGCGAAGGCAGCUUACUAAACUGCCACUGACAUUGAUGCUCGAAAGUGUGGGUAUCAAACAGGAUUAGAUACCCGAGUAGUC